CUACAAUGGACAGUACAACAGGUUGCCAAGCCGCGAGGCGGAGCCAAUCCUCUAAAGCUGUCCCUACAGUUCAGAUUGCAGUCUGCAACUCGACUGCAUGAAGCCGGAGUUGCUAGUAACCGCAGGUCAGCAAUACUGCGGUGAAUACGUUCCCGGGUCCGUU
This 163-nucleotide ribosomal RNA is filed under the name uncultured Anaerolineaceae bacterium. RNAcentral describes it as "partial 16S ribosomal RNA". It matches the Rfam family "Bacterial small subunit ribosomal RNA", at positions 1225 to 1380 of the family's 1533-position model. Lineage: Bacteria; Bacillati; Chloroflexota; Anaerolineae; Anaerolineales; Anaerolineaceae. The record is from RNAcentral.